CCUACGGGUGGCAGCAGUGAGGAAUCUUGGUCAAUGGACGAGAGUCUGAACCAGCCACGUAGCGUGAAGGAUGACUGCCCUAUGGGUUGUAAACUUCUUUUAUAUGGGAAUAAAUUGUUCCACGAGUGGGAUUUUGUAUGUACCAUAUGAAUAAGGAUCGGCUAACUCCGUGCCAGCAGCCGCGGUAAUACGGAGGAUCCGAGCGUUAUCCGGAUUUAUUGGGUGUAAAGGUAGCGUAGGUGGAUUGUUAAGUCAGUUGUGAAAGUUGGCGGCUCAACCGUAAAAGUGCAGUUGAAACUGGCAGUCUUGAGUACAGGAGAGGUGGGCGGAAUUCGUGGUGUAGCGGUGAAAUGCUUAGAUAUCGCGAAGAACUCCGAUUGCGAAGGCAGCUCACUGGACUGCAACUGACACUGAGGCUCGAAAGUGUGGGUAGCAAACAGGAUUAGAUACCCGGGUAGUC
RNAcentral lists this ribosomal RNA (460 nucleotides) under uncultured bacterium. RNAcentral's name for it is "partial 16S ribosomal RNA". It matches the Rfam family "Bacterial small subunit ribosomal RNA", at positions 338 to 795 of the family's 1533-position model. The record is from RNAcentral.